AACGAACGCUGGCGGCAUGCCUGACACAUGCAAGUCGAACGAGACCUUCGGGUCUAGUGGCGCACGGGUGCGUAACGCGUGGGAACCUGCCCUUAGGUUCGGAAUAACUCCCCGAAAGGGGUGCUAAUACCGGGUAAUGUCCUCGGACCAAAGAUUUAUCGCCUUUGGAUGGGCCCGCGUUGGAUUAGCUAGUUGGUAGGGUAAAAGCCUACCAAGGCGACGAUCCAUAGCUGGUCUGAGGGGAUGAUCAGCCACACUGGGACUGAGACACGGCCCAGACUCCUACGGGAGGCAGCAGUGGGGAAUAUUGGACAAUGGGCGAAAGCCUGAUCCAGCAAUGCCGCGUGAGUGAUGAAGGCCUGAGGGUUGUAAAGCUCUUUUACCCGGGAUGAUAAUGACAGUACCGGGAGAAUAAGCUCCGGCUAACUCCGUG
This 433-nucleotide ribosomal RNA is filed under the name uncultured bacterium. Its description in RNAcentral is "partial 16S ribosomal RNA". It matches the Rfam family "Bacterial small subunit ribosomal RNA", at positions 29 to 507 of the family's 1533-position model. The record is from RNAcentral.